This 314-nucleotide unclassified non-coding RNA is filed under the name uncultured fungus. RNAcentral describes it as "partial contains 5.8S ribosomal RNA and internal transcribed spacer 2". The stretch from base 1 to 133 matches the Rfam family "5.8S ribosomal RNA", at positions 22 to 154 of the family's 154-position model. The record is from RNAcentral. Lineage: Eukaryota; Fungi.
UGGUUCUGGCAUNGAUGAAGAACGCAGCGAAAUGCGAUAAGUAAUGUGAAUUGCAGAAUUCAGUGAAUCAUCGAAUCUUUGAACGCACAUUGCGCCCUCUGGUAUUCCGGGGGGCAUGCCUGUUCGAGCGUCAUUGCAACCCUCAAGCUUAGCUUGGUAUUAGGCCUCACUUUAAGAGUGUGCCGCAAAAGCAGUAGCGGUGCCUGUUGGCUUCAAGCAUAGUAAUCUUUCUUGCUCAGAAGUCUACUGUGUACUUGCUAGAAUCUUUACACAUAUCAAAGGUUGACCUCGGAUCAGGUAGGGAUACCCGCUGA